GUAAGCCAGCGAUUUCGUGAAGGGCUCUCAUGUGUUGCAGCAAAGGUGAUUGACCUUACACGAGGAAAACCCCACUCUACCAGCUCUACCUUGAUGCAAGAGAGGAGGCUCUCACUGAUGACCUACCAGAUCUUGACACAGGGGCUGCACUUUUAUUCCUGCCAUACGUCUUCAAGGAGAAACUGGAUCUCUUUGUCAUACUUGGAGAGGUUCAUCCUAAAACCCCCUAUCCAACUGUUCAGCUACUUCAUGAAGACUGGAAACCAGUGUUCUCCAGAAGCGCUCCAAACAUUGUGAAGUUGGAUGGCAGUGAAGUGUGCAGAACCUCGUGUAUUUUUGAAGGAAUCAUCUCUUCUUUCUGCUUGUAUUUUGUCUUCAACCUUGCUUACCCAAAACAUCUGAAGAACACCCUGAUUUUUCUCCAAAAGUACAUUGUGAAAAUAGAUGAGGGUGAGGACCGGCCUCUGCCAAUCACAGUCACCAGACAAAUAAAUCUUCUGUAUUGACCACCAUGCCUCAGCCAUAUCAGUGCUCCAAAUGUGGCAGAAGAACCUUUAGUUUGAUAAAGCUUAUUCAGCACAUAGGACUUAUUCAUUCCCAUGAUGCCAAUUUUGAUAUAACUUGUGGACUCAGUGACUGCUGUUCUUCUGUUACACCAGAGUGUCAUUAUUUAAUCCACUAUGCAAGACUGAUUGAAAUGUUCGGCCCUCUCGUUUGUUAUGGUGUAUGAGAUUUGAAAGUAAGCACCAGUAUUUCAAAAUGUUGUCCCGCAAUUGUAGAAAUUUUAUGAACAUUGCUACAACUUUGAGCAACAGACAUCAGUUCAGACAGUGCUGGGAGUUUUCUAACAAAAGUUUACUUGGUGAAUUUGAAAAUGUUUUUGGAAAAAGUGUGACUACACCAUUUUUGUCAUUACCACUGGAA
This is a long non-coding RNA of Oreochromis aureus, 924 nucleotides long. NCBI's taxonomy places the organism in Eukaryota, Metazoa, Chordata, Actinopteri, Cichliformes, Cichlidae. The record is from Ensembl.